GACUGGGAUGACCAACACUGGUAGGCAGAGAGACUGGGAUGACCAACACUGGUAGGUAGAGAGACUGGGAUGACCAACACUGGUAGGCAGACAGACUGGGAUGACCAACACUGGUAGGUAGAGAGACUGGGAUGACCAACACUGGUAGGUAGAGAGACUGGGAUGACCAACACUGGUAGGCAGACAGACUGGGAUGACCAACACUGGUAGGCAGACAGACUGGGAUGACCAACACUGGUAGGUAGAGACAGACUGGGAUGACCAACACUGGUAGGCAGAGAGACUGGGAUGACCAACACUGGUAGGCAGAGAGACUGGGAUGACCAACACUGGUAGGUAGAGACAGACUGGGAUGACCAACACUGGUAGGUAGAGACAGACUGGGAUGACCAACACUGGUAGGUAGAGACAGACUGGGAUGACCAACACUGGUAGGCAGAGAGACUGGGAUGGCCAACACUGGUAGGUAGAGAGACUGGGAUGACCAACACUGGUAGGUAGAGAGACUGGGAUGACCAACACUGGUAGGUAGAGACAGACUGGGAUGACCAACACUGGUAGGUAGAGACAGACUGGGAUGACCAACAAUGGUAGGUAGAGACAGACUGGGAUGACCAACACUGGUAGGCAGACAGACUGGGAUGACCAACACUGGUAGGUAGAGACAGACUGGAUGACCAACACUGGUAGCUUGGCAUGUAAAGGCGAGGAAGAUGCCAAUGCCACUACAGUAUAUCUCCAUGGAAGUAUGAACCCCCAUAGCUAGCUACAGUUGGGCUCAAUUCCAUUUCAAUUCCAGUCAAUUCAGGAAGUAAAAG
Oncorhynchus tshawytscha (Chinook salmon) is the source of this 818-nucleotide long non-coding RNA. Lineage: Eukaryota; Metazoa; Chordata; Actinopteri; Salmoniformes; Salmonidae. The record is from Ensembl.